This 253-nucleotide ribosomal RNA is filed under the name uncultured bacterium. RNAcentral describes it as "partial 16S ribosomal RNA". It matches the Rfam family "Bacterial small subunit ribosomal RNA", at positions 524 to 776 of the family's 1533-position model. The record is from RNAcentral.
UACAGAGGGUGCAAGCGUUAAUCGGAAUUACUGGGCGUAAAGCGCGCGUAGGUGGUUUGUUAAGUUGGAUGUGAAAUCCCCGGGCUCAACCUGGGAACUGCAUCCAAAACUGGCAAGCUAGAGUAUGGUAGAGGGUGGUGGAAUUUCCUGUGUAGCGGUGAAAUGCGUAGAUAUAGGAAGGAACACCGGUGGCGAAGGCGGCGACCUGGUCCGAUACUGACGCUGAGGCGCGAAAGCGUGGGGAGCAAACAGG